RNAcentral lists this ribosomal RNA (468 nucleotides) under uncultured bacterium. RNAcentral's name for it is "partial 16S ribosomal RNA". It matches the Rfam family "Bacterial small subunit ribosomal RNA", at positions 28 to 507 of the family's 1533-position model. The record is from RNAcentral.
GACGAACGCUGGCGGCGUGCUUAACACAUGCAAGUCGAACGGAAAGGCCCUGCUUUUGUGGGGUGCUCAAGUGGCGAACGGGUGAGUAACACGUGAGUAACCUGCCCUUGACUUUGGGAUAACUUCAGGAAACUGGGGCUAAUACCGGAUAGGAGCUCCUGCUGCAUGGUGGGGGUUGGAAAGUUUCGGCGGUUGGGGAUGGACUCGCGGCUUAUCAGCUUGUUGGUGGGGUAGUGGCUUACCAAGGCUUUGACGGGUAGCCGGCCUGAGAGGGUGACCGGCCACAUUGGGACUGAGAUACGGCCCAGACUCAUACUGGAGGCAGCAGUGGGGAAUAUUGCACAAUGGGCGGAAGCCUGAUGCAGCAACUCCGCGUGCGGGAUGACGGCCAUCGGGUUGUAAACCGCUUUCGCCUGUGACGAAGCGUGAGUGACGGUAAUGGGUAAAGAAGCAACGGCUAACUACGUG